RNAcentral lists this ribosomal RNA (484 nucleotides) under uncultured bacterium. RNAcentral describes it as "partial 16S ribosomal RNA". It matches the Rfam family "Bacterial small subunit ribosomal RNA", at positions 28 to 507 of the family's 1533-position model. The record is from RNAcentral.
AUUGAACGCUGGCGGCAUGCUUUACACAUGCAAGUCGAACGGCAGCGCGGGCUUCGGCCUGGCGGCGAGUGGCGAACGGGUGAGUAAUGCAUCGGAACGUGCCCCGUAGUGGGGGAUAGCACGGCGAAAGCCGGAUUAAUACCGCAUACGACCUGAGGGUGAUAGCGGGGGACCGAAAGGCCUCGCGCUAUUGCAGCGGCCGAUGUCGGAUUAGCUAGUUGGUGGGGUGAAGGCUUACCAAGGGGACGAUCCGUAGCUGGUCUGAGAGGACGACCAGCCACCCUGGGACUGGGCCACGGCCCAGACUCCUGCGGGAGGCAGCAGUCGGGAAUUUUGGACAAUGGGGGCAACCCUUAUCCAGCCAUGCCGCGUGCGGGAAGAAGGCCUUCGGGUUGUAAACCGCUUUUGUUCGGGAAGAAAUCCUCUGGGCUAAUACCCCGGGGGGAUGACGGUACCGGAAGAAUAAGCACCGGCUAACUACGUG